CCCUGUCCAAUACCCCCUUCUCCGGCAGGUUUUUUUUUUGUCCCUGUCCAAUACCCCCUUCUCCAGCAGGUAUCUUUCAUUAUUUCUCAAGGCACAAUAGCUAUGGAUGACUAGAAUUUCUGUAAUUGUUCUUCUCUUAUUUCUUUUAUUCUUAUAGUUUCCAACUAAUUGCCUUAUAACAGUUGUUUCCAAACAUGGAAAUCCUGAUUUACUUGAUCUUCUAGGCAAACAAACAAACAAACAAACAAAAAAGUCUAGUUCUUGGAUAACUGACUCAUUAACAAUGAACAGUGUCUCAAGUCAGCCCUCUCAACCUCCCAUCUUCACAGCUGUGUCCUUGCUGUUAAGCCAGGCUUAUUGCCCAAAAUAGGAAUUGUCUGUUUGCCAAUAAAUAAAUAACUGUGGUAUUAACAAGUAUGCUAUAAACUCUAAUGCAAUGGUCUAUGAACUGGAGUUUGAGAACCAGUGCUUUAGGUGAAUUUUUAAAAACUUUUCUCAUAGAGACCUUUCCUCACUGAUAUAUAGAAUUUAGCUAGCAGGGUCUUCAUCAGCCAAUGCUGAAUGCAUUAGAGCUUUUAACUUAGAAAAUGGAGGAAAAAUAUUCCAGAAUAAGAUAAUAUAAGAAACCUUUUACUUGGGCCGUCUUGUCAUGAGAAUGCCAUGGUGGUGGGUGUGGGCAUAGCUUGAAGGGGGAUAUAGAAGAAAUUAGAGUCUUACAGAACUGUGGCUUAUAAUUGUGGAAGUUUUCCUCUUUGAGUUCAGCUCUGACUGAGACAUUGCCUAACUCCCAAGGCAUGCUGACUUCCACAUAGUCAAUGACAUUGUGUGGGUGUGUGAUUUUGAAAGCUAGUGUUUUCCUCAGUAUCUACAAAGAUGAUGGCUACUAAAACAGAAAAAGUGACCUAGAAUAAAGAACAUCGCAGAUAGCAUGUAGGGCCAUCAUAGGGGCCCUCUAAAUUUGGAGAUAAAAAUCAGUGACUGAUAAUAAAAAUGGAAAAAUGACAAAGAUAUGAUCUCUGUACAAAAGAAUAAUUUUUAAGUGUAUUGCUUAGGAGACUAGAAUAGUCUGAUGCUAUCUAGGAUUUAUUCUCAGGACCGGGACACAAUGAAGAGGGAAGUACCAAAAUCACUUGUGCUAUAUGAUUAUAUAAGGCUGUGUUAAAUGGAGCAUUGUUCUUACGUGGAGCAUAGGAAAAUUUGAAUCUUGAAGUAUACAAAUAUUUCUCUUUGUCCCUGUCAUAUGCAGGGGUAUGGUUCCUAAAAAGACAGCAUGGUGAGUCCAGUGGCUUCCUUGUCAAUUUUACCCCAUGGUAGAGAUGGGUACAUUAGGCUAUCAGAGCUUAAUAGCUCCAUACAAUAGAAAAUUCCCAGAUAACUCAAUUUUCUCUGAUUCAGGGUCUACCAAAUGACCUACUUAAAGUAAUUGUCAUUCCACUUACAUUUUCUGAUAG
This 1451-nucleotide long non-coding RNA is filed under the name Homo sapiens (human). RNAcentral's name for it is "HSALNT0348236". The record is from RNAcentral. Lineage: Eukaryota; Metazoa; Chordata; Mammalia; Primates; Hominidae.